RNAcentral lists this ribosomal RNA (253 nucleotides) under uncultured bacterium. RNAcentral describes it as "partial 16S ribosomal RNA". It matches the Rfam family "Bacterial small subunit ribosomal RNA", at positions 524 to 776 of the family's 1533-position model. The record is from RNAcentral.
UACGUAGGGGGCAAGCGUUAUCCGGAUUUACUGGGUGUAAAGGGAGCGCAGACGGAUGGAUAAGUCUGAAGUGAAAGCCCGCGGCUCAACUGCGGGACUGCUUUGGAAACUGUGCAUCUUGAGUACGGGAGGGGCAGGCGGAAUUCCUGGUGUAGCGGUGAAAUGCGUAGAUAUCAGGAGGAACACAGGCGGCGAAGGCGGCCUGCUGGACCGAAACUGACGUUGAGGCUCGAAAGCGUGGGGAGCAAACAGG